GCAAUUCUUCAGUAUGUCAUGUCUUGUAUUUUAGAUGAAAACCGGGUUCGUUGUCAAGCCGCAUUACACGCCCAAAUACUACAGAACCCAAUAGAUACUUGGUAUUUAUCCACGAUCCAGCAAAAACUAUGUUGGUGAUGAACACAAGGAACUACUACGUUGGUAUUUAUCCACGAUCCAGCAAAAACUAUGUUGGUGAUGAACACAAGGAACUACUACGUUGUAUCUUCUGUAUCAGUAUUGUUUGACACUUGGCAGCAAUAUAAUUGAAGACUAAAGUCAUGGAUCAACGUACGGCAGGGAAC
RNAcentral lists this long non-coding RNA (305 nucleotides) under Oryza sativa (Asian cultivated rice). RNAcentral's name for it is "long non-coding RNA (OSAT_LNC000604)". The record is from RNAcentral. Lineage: Eukaryota; Viridiplantae; Streptophyta; Magnoliopsida; Poales; Poaceae.